ACGAACGCUGGCGGCGUGCCUAACACAUGCAAGUCGAGCGAGAGACUUCGGUCUCUAGCGGCGGACGGGUGAGUAACACGUGGGUAACCUGCCUCAAACAGGUGGAUAGCCUUCCGAAAGGAAGAUUAAUACCGCAUAACAUCAAAUUAUCGCAUGGUAGUUUGAUCAAAGGAGUAAUCCGGUUUGAGAUGGACCCGCGGCGCAUUAGCUAGUUGGUGAGGUAACGGCUCACCAAGGCCACGAUGCGUAGCCGACCUGAGAGGGUGAUCGGCCACAUUGGAACUGAGAUACGGUCCAGACUCCUACGGGAGGCAGCAGUGGGGAAUAUUGCACAAUGGGCGAAAGCCUGAUGCAGCAACGCCGCGUGAGUGAUGAAGGCCUUCGGGUUGUAAAGCUCUGUCUUUGGGGACGAUAAUGACGGUACCCAAGGAGGAAGCCACGGCUAACUACGUGCCAGCAGCCGCGGUAAUACGAAACUCAAAUGAAUUGACGG
RNAcentral lists this ribosomal RNA (493 nucleotides) under uncultured bacterium. RNAcentral describes it as "bacterial SSU rRNA". It matches the Rfam family "Bacterial small subunit ribosomal RNA", at positions 34 to 540 of the family's 1533-position model. The record is from RNAcentral.